ACUCAGAAUAGCACAGCCCACACCACCCUCAGAAGUCAGAGCCUCUGGGCAGUUUUGCAUUCAGACAGCUCACUGAGCUUACCUCAUUCUAAAGUCCUUGGCCAUGGUCAGAGGGCUAAUUUCCUUGCCGGGCACCUCAGCCUACACAACUGAACAGUUGCCUGAAAAAACAGCCUUGGUGCCUUCUGCACGGCAUAGCCACUGCCAGCAGCACGGGCAGGGCUGGCCACAGUCCUGGGACCAAAGCAUCGAGCCCCCUAAAGGAGACCCUGGGCAUCAGCCACGGGAAACACAGAGGGGAGGAAAGACGAUAAGCAAAGAGGGGUGAUCCCAAAGGCCCUGCAGUGGUCGGUUUUCUGUCCCAAGAUGGGACAAAGUGGAGCAAUACACAGCAGCAGGCAGCCCCCAAGCACUGGGACCAGCGAUGAAUAAUGAAAUUUUUUGGCUUUGGAGUGCUCAUAGCUCCACAAGGGACUGAGUUUUGUUUCUUAUUGCAGGCUUGCAAGAUAGGAUCAGCCUUCCCCUCCCAUCUCGGCCCCACAGGAACAGCACACUGGGUGGCUGGGAGCUGGCUGCUGCUCUCUGGUCUGGGAGAAGAUUUACAGGAGCUGCUCAAAGAACAACAUCCUUUUAAGCUGAGAGAGAGCAAAUACUUUUGCUAUAGGGCAAGGAAACCUGCACGCACCCUCCUUGGAAAAUGAGGCACACUAUGCCUCCUUGAAAGAUCCGGAACAGAUAACAGCCCUGCCAGACAAGUAUUUUUCAUUUUCCCAUUAUCAGAUGGUGGGAAGGCCACACCAUUCCUCCUAGCAGCAGGCCUGCUCGCCCCACCCAGACCGUGCCUCCAAAAAGCAACAGAGCUCCUGGGGCCACAAGCGGUGGAGAGAAGGAUGAAGCUCUUGGUGUUUGAAUCAGCAGGAAAGCAAAGCCGGUGUUUGCAACACAAAAGCUCAGCAGUGCUGUUCUGAGUAAGAGCAGUAUCGUCCAGGAAAUGGCUGAACACGGGAUUGAUCCCAUCGAGGUGCAGUGCCCAACAAACAGGAGAGCAUCACCUGGGCUUCCUCCAGGAUGGCAGAGAAAGAUGCCUCUCCCUAGAGAACAAUUCAUCUCAGCUCCUUGGAAUAAAGUGCCUAACUUUAGCA
This 1142-nucleotide long non-coding RNA is filed under the name Numida meleagris (helmeted guineafowl). Its description in RNAcentral is "lncRNA (ENSNMEG00000020267.1)". Lineage: Eukaryota; Metazoa; Chordata; Aves; Galliformes; Numididae. The record is from RNAcentral.